GGCCGCGCGGUGAGCACAACGCGAACUAUUUUUUCGCCUUUUACUAAAGAAUACCGUUUGCUCGCCUCAAAUAGCGGCAUAAACCUCUUUUAGGAGGGCUCUUAACCUAGUGAUG
Small nuclear RNA from Cornus florida, 115 nucleotides. RefSeq annotates it as U5 spliceosomal RNA. The transcript has a single exon. Lineage: Eukaryota; Viridiplantae; Streptophyta; Magnoliopsida; Cornales; Cornaceae. The record is from RefSeq and is a predicted model, not a curated record.